This is a long non-coding RNA of Diceros bicornis minor, 1278 nucleotides long. RefSeq lists it as uncharacterized. Lineage: Eukaryota; Metazoa; Chordata; Mammalia; Perissodactyla; Rhinocerotidae. The record is from RefSeq and is a predicted model, not a curated record. The transcript is spliced from 3 exons.
CCUCCGAGCCGCCGACCCCCUGCUCCAGCCCCCGAGCCCCAGCCCCGGCGUGACCGGCCUACACGCGCCGCAGCCGGUGACAGGUUGCACCGAAACUCACACAACGGGCCCUUUCCGUCGGGCUCGAGAAAAUGGAGUGUGGCCGACCUGUUGCCUCACAUUGGCCAAAGGGGGACCAGAAAGGAGAAAUUCCGCAGCAGGAACUUGAUUCGGCUGGCCCUGACCACAAAGGAACCGGUGUGUGUGGGUGGUGACCUGCCCCUUCUCUGGCCUUGUCAGGAGAGGCAAAUGCCUGCCCAGGGGGCGCCCCUGGCUCUAGAGCUGCCUGAGGAGCAGCGAGUGAGGGCUGAUGGAGGAGGAGAAGAAGGGCCUUCCAGGCAGAGGCCCGAGGGGUGAGGCUCGGCCCAGGAUCACACAGGAGAAUCUCCUCUGGAUGGGCUUGGGUUGGUCCUGGGGGCCCUGGCUGCGCUGCUGACUGGCAUAACAGGAUGGCCCGUGGUGGCCCAGAGGGGAGCCCCGUCCCACAUCUGCUCUACACUGCUUGCUCCAGGCCCACGUGCUCAGGGUUCCUGGGACUGAAAACCACAGCAGUCUGUUCAAGCACAGGGACAGAGCGGCCCGCUCUCACAGCAUCUGCCCUCUUCAGCUGCCCGGCGGAGCCUGAGUCCUGGUGAAGAUCUCUGCCUGCCUCAUCCCAGGGAUGAGGCUGGACCAAGGCCACCACGUGGCCCCUGCAGUUUCCCACAGACAGGGCCCCGAUGGCUUCCUUCCUUGUGCCAAGUCUCCUGGGAGCCCCCGUCCUAGUGGUCCCUCCUCCACCCCAGCUCUGUCCACCCAGGACCACUUCUGGGAGCCUGCCAGCCUGCUGACUCCACCCAUCAAUCUCUGGGGCAGCCUCUGAGAGGAGAGCAACACGGGGCUGCAUGAGAGCAGAGGAGGAGGAGGGGCCUCCUUGGCGCUGACAUGCAGAUGUGCCCAUUUCAAGCCCAGGUCUCACCCUCUGGGUGACUCGAUCCCCAGCUCCAGCAUCUUUCUGGUCCAGGCAGGGAGGGAGGAGGAAGGCCUGGGAAUGGCACGAGGGAGGCUCUUCACUCACUGCGUGUGCCUGUGCGUGUGCAGGUGUGUGUGUGUGUGCAUGUGUGUGUGGUGAGGUGGGGUGGAGCUGUGGAGCAGGAUGAGUGCACUGAGUGCCCGGCCCUCGCUGGGCAGGGGGCUCAGCUGGAGCUGCCUGGGGCCUAGGAGGCCGCUUCCCCACAGACAGGGCACAGCCUCAGGGGC